RNAcentral lists this non-coding RNA (45 nucleotides) under unclassified sequences. Its description in RNAcentral is "chromate-resist RNA". It matches the Rfam family "chrB-b RNA". The record is from RNAcentral.
AGGGGUUGAAGCGGACACCCCUUCAGGCGCGCGCCCAAGCUCCGU